UACCGAUUCAGAAUUGUUCCGGCGCAUACAUCAAUGGUUCAAUGCAAGAGCAAGAGAAAUGAAAAAUUGACAGAGGCAUGCGUCAAUUGUUCAGAUACAAUUGCAUAGAGGAGAUGGAUAAGUCCGGUGACAAAUCCAGGAUUUGGAGUGUUUACAGUGGCACCACAGAAAUUACCAUCUUUUUUUUAUCAAAACAGGCCGGUUUGGGUUCUGGGCAAGCUGGGCCCGCACGUCUUCCACGAAUGCUUCACUGCCCUCGAAGCUACUGUUGCUCAGCUCAAAUUUCUUGAGGCUUUGUAGGGAUGCUAGCCCAGAAAACAACCCAGCAUUGAUUAUUCCAUCACGGCCACUGUGACCAAAGUCUAACAUAUGGUCUAUUUAGAUACCCUAUGUUAAAGUUUAACAAGUAUUAAAAUUUUAACACUCUCAAAUAGAGUACUAAAGUUUAACACAUUGGGGUGUUUGAAUGGUGUGUUAAACUUUAACAUCUUUGGUGGGAAAUAACUCCAUUGCCCCCUCAUUUAUGGCCGGCGGAGAGCAAGAGGGAGGAGAGAGAAGGGGGCAAUGGUGAGAAAAAGUGGAGAGGGGACCACUUUUAACAACUUUUAACACUCCCUUGAGGUGUUUAUAAAAUUGGGGGUGUUAAACUUUAACAUAUCCCUUUUAACACAUGUGUUUGGGAAACAAUGUGAUAAAAAAAUGUUAAAAUGAGGUGCUAAACUUUAACACCGGCCUUAGGCGCUGCUCCGUCUUUAAACUGCACAGAUUUGACGUCGGUCUCACCUCCUGAGCAUCUCUGCACGCCAGUCAGUUGCAGCGCUACUAGACUAGUUCUGUUGUUGAUCAGUCGAAUGAGAUCUGCCUUGGACUUGUUCUGUUGCCGCUGUGCUUCCUCGAUGCCUGACAUUGUUGUUGCACCGGCAAAGCCGGACAGCCCAGCGUCCUCUGCAGACUUGGAUCCAGCAGCGCUCUUGACGAGUUGGCAAUGCGGACAUGCGGUGCCGCUCCCGCAGCGUGCUCGGGAGGCGCCACCACGAUGGCUUGUUGAGAUGAACGGAACAAUCUUGGAGGCAAUCCUCAGCAUCAUAGGCCACAUCACACCCAGGUCAUGACUCAUGAGCACCUUGUGGUCGUCUCACUCCUCGUGCACGGCCCUCAGGAAAGCCUGCAUCAUCUCGAGAUUUUUCCUGAUGAAAGCAUGGUCGCGCUGGACACCGAGCUGCAAGGCCACCACCUCCGCUACAACGGAUUUGGCAUAGCCAAGCGCUCCAUACAGCACAGACUUUCCCAAGCUCAGCGUUGUGGCCUCCAUCAGUGGCGGACCCAACGACUGAAUCGAACCCGGCGUAGCCUAAGGCUGCCGCCUUUCUUGUCUCCGGCUCAAGGUGUUUGCGGCUGAUUUGACCUUGUAAUUUGUGAGCUAGAGCCCAGGCAGCCGCCUAGGGUCGCCGGCCCUGGGUCCGCCCCUGGUCCUCUCUGAUGUGCUGUGUGCUUCUGUGGAUGGGGGUUGCUGCUGCUAAUGGAGUGAUGGUUGGUGGCCUGGUGCUGUCAAGAAGAGUCAACCUUGGAGUAAAGAAGAGUAAUGAUGGUUGGUGGCCUGGUGCUGUCAAGAGUAGCUUCUAGGAUGUCUGAAAAAACGGAUGCCUUCAUUCAUCAAAAGAAAAAAGCCCAGAAGCACGAGACGUACAAAAAUCCCAGAAGCACAAAAGCUGGAACAAAUACUAGAUCCUAAUACUUGUAAGAGAGAUCAUAUAAAAACAUGAAGGUUCUAAAAAUAUAUAUGAAAACAUGACAUGCAUUGUAUUGGGUAAACGGAGAGGAUCGGAGGGCGCAUGGACCCCGGGAGAACCUGCACCAGAUCAUAUCACUAUGAAGCCAGAAACAAUUAAACAUUGAAUAUUUAGAUACUAAUUAAGAGUAUUAAAUAUAGAUUAAUUAUAAAACUAAUUGCAUAAAUGGAGGCUAAUUUGAAAUAAUGGGCCUAGCCCAUAGUAAUUUUACAAUUCCAAAUAAAUCUCAAAGGCCCAUGUGGCCAAGAGGUGCAGUGGUGCAAGUCUUUAGUCCCAUAUUGCUAGUGGAGGAGAGGAUGACCAACUUAAAUAUGGAAGUUGUCUCCACUCCUCCAAGCUAUGUGUGUGGGGAGAGAAGGAGAGCUCCACACGCGCGUGCUCCGCCCCGCCCCGCCCGGCGGGGCAAAGGGCGCGGGCGUGCGGCACCUGCGUGAAUGGUCCGCCGGAAUUCGGCCCCUCACCUUGCGGGGGCGUGGCUUUUGCUGUUUUAUUUUUUGGUUACUUGGUCCUUAAGUCAGUGAGAUAUAUGGAAUCCUAACCGACCUCUACCAAAAAUAGAUCUAUUCGAGCUAGGAUUUUUGCCUCCUCUCGCUGCUGCGCCACCACCGUAGUCUACUCCAUCCCAAUUGUCGGCGUGCACCGGCGAUUGGGAGAGUAGGUCUCUGGAAGCAUCGUCUUCAGCGAUCCUGCAUCGGGAGAGGGCGAAAAAGGUUUUUGGGAAGCUCUCUGCGCGACUGCUCGAUCGCUUCCUCCGCUUCGUCAAGUUCUUCAUCGACUCCUUUACCACGGCUCGUCUACCUCUUUGUCACUCAGGCGUCGCUCGCCGUCGCGAACAACGUGAGGCUGCUGAUCGUCGUCGCCGGCUGUACCCGGUAGUCGUCCAGGAGCCAAUCUUCAUCAAGAAAGAAACGUACGAUCUCUUAUCUCAAAUUAUGUCUUCCAUACUAGCUAUUAUGAUCUGUUGCAGUCUGAUAGCACUGGAUAGUAUGGUAGAAUAUGUGAUUCUAUUUGCAAUGAUAGACUUGUCUAGAUCUUGCGUAGACAUGUUUAGUUUAAUCUGCUAUCUGUUCAUCGUAUUCAUGAUUUAUUUCUGGAUUAAAUUAAAACUAAAAGUGCUUAUAUAUCCAACAGCUAAUUCGCGAAAUGAAUCUAUUAAGCCUAAUUAAUUAAUGAUUAGCACACUAAUUAGGUUUAAUAGAUUCGUCUCGUGAAUUAGCCUCCAUCUGUGCAAUCGGUUUAUAAUUAGCUCAUAUUUAGUCCUCCUAAUUAGUAUCUAAAUAUUAUAUAUGAUAGGAACUAGACUUUAGUCGUGGAACCAAACAUUGUGCCAGAGAGCAACUAAUUAAAAACACGACUUGCAUUUGGUAAACGGAGAGGAAGGAGGACUUGGCACUUGUUUUAAGAGUGCAUCGAGAUAGGAGUUGCGAGCAGAACCAACCACAAACACCGCAUCCUCAUCCAACUUGAAAGUUGAAACCACAAAGCACUGGUAGAUGGCAAGCAUCAAUGAAGAAGAAGCUCCUAGUUCUCCAAAUGCUCCGACAGUAGCCAUGGACGCCAAGCUGAUGGUGGCCGCAGACCGUGGCGAUGUCAAGAAGUUGAAGGGUCUGCUGAACAAGGAGGAUGCCAUGGCGAUGGUUGUGGUGACGGCGGCGACGAGCAAGAAGCCUUCCAAGGAGGACCAGUUCCCUGCUGGCCGCAUCAAUCCCCUCCUGCUGGCAUCUGCGUGCGUUGGCUCCUGGAAGGCACUGAACUUCCUUCUCGAGAGGGAAGACGCAAAGAAGGCACCAAUGGUGGCUCCUACUCAAGAUUUCCUUGAGUUGCUAGCAGGAGGCAGCGGCACCAAGGGAAGAAGUGUGGUGUCAGCUGCUGGUGAUGUAGAAGAGGGCGUUGACCACGAGCCUGCUCCGCCUGCAGCAGGAGCACUUCUCAAGGGCGUCACUCCAGAUGGGGACACGACACUACAUGCAGUUGCCAGCAAUGGAGACAACGGCGAUGAUUUCUUGAAGUAUGCUGGCAUCAUCUGUGAUCGGGACAGGGACCUCCUGUUUGCGAAGAAUCACAUGGGCGACACACCAUUGCAUUGUGCUGUCCGUGCUGGGAGCUCCAAAAUGGUUUCUCGUCUCAUUGCUCUAGCUGAACAUGAGGGUGCCGAAGGGAAGCUCAAGCUCUUGAGAAUGGAGAACGAGCGUCACGAGACGGCACUGCAUGAGGCUGUCCGGAUUGAAGGUGGUAGAAUUCUGGAUGAUCAGGAGACACUUUAUGCUGUCCUAACUGAUGAAGACAUUAGAAGCCCGGGUCAUAAGGGUGAUGCUGACGGCGGCGGUGCACCAGAAGAGAAGAAUAUGGUCAGGCUGCUAAUGGAUUCUGAUCCCGAAUUGGCUAAUUAUCCUGCCAAAGGCAUUUCGCCUUUGUGCCUAGCCAUCUUGCUGGAGAAGGAUACCAUUGCAGUCACUCUUUAUGAAAAGAGUGGCGGCAAUCUCUCCUACUCUGGACCAGAUGGACAAAAUGCAUUGCAUGUUGCGGUUCUCCAAGCUACUAGUACAAACACAGGUACCAACUAGAUGUGUCAAUUCUGUUAUAUAUACAUACUGCUUGCAUACCAUUUUUGCUUGUCAUAGGGCCAGUACAAUACAAAUAAUGGUUUAGAAUCAACAUGCUUAAACAUUAAUUCUGCCCUAGAGUUCAUUUAUCUGAAAAAGAACUAUCAUGGUCGUGUUUUCAUUUUCCACAGAUCAAAAAGAUGAUCUUGAGUCGUUGCACUUUAACAUUAUGUUUUGGGAUUUUUAAUUUACAUACAUCGCCAUUUUAUCCCAUUUUUGCUCCGUGACACUUACCUAUGUCUUUUUUCACAUGUUUUGACCAAUGUCGUUUAUUCAUUAACACCCAGUAUGUAAGUUAAUGUCUCAUCUGUAAUCAUCUCUACAUAUCACAUUGUUGAUUUCCUCUAUAUAAGGGAGAAGUCCAUUCUUGGGCAUCCCACUCUUUUUAAAGUUCGAUUUUGGCCAUUCGAUUCAGAAACCAAAAUCCAUUGACCAAUGAACGAGCAAAACCGGACAAAUUUGGUCAUCUUGCUGGUUUAGAAGGUGCUUAUUUGGAUCUUAUUUGUUCAUGUUCCUAAUGUAUUAUUGCUUAUAAUCACGCCUAUUAUUUAUUGAAUUUAUAGUUUUGUGUUACAUUAGACCUAGAGAUCAACCAAGAGGAUCUAGCGACUGUGAGUAUACAAAAGAUCUGGAAGAUGACAUGAACCUCUCCGGUGCCAUGCUCUACCACAUACAAAACAUAUUUAGGUAUCGCAACUAACAUGCCUUCGCUAGCCUUCCAAAUAAGAUUUAGUUAAUUUGACUUCAACAGAUUUGGUUCCCUACGUGGAGUAUGGAUCCUUUUAGUUGAUCUUCAGGUCUAAUAUAGUGUGAAAUUAUAAUUCAAAUAAAUAAAAGGGUGUGACUACGAGCAAUAUAACACCAGAAAUUUGAACAAAUAAGAUCAAAAUAGCUCCAAAUUGAUCACCAACAGAGAGAUUGUAACUUUAUAAAAAACAAUUUGGUGCUACAUAUUUAUCUGAUUUGAAAUAAGUUAGUUAUAAAUUUUCAGAGAUUAGCCCAACUUUUUAAUUUUAGAAAAUAUGUGUAGGGAGAACAACAUUCGAAACAAGAUAGAUGGCCAAAUUUGUCUUAUUUUGGUAGCCUAGAUGCUCAAUGAUUUCAGGUUUUUGAGUUGGAUGGUCAAAAUCAGACUCCAGCAAAAGUUGGAUGGCCAAAGGUGGACUUCUCCCAUUAAAAAUUCCCGUUAUUUGGAGAGCUAUUGAGGUUUAGAUAAUAUAUAUGAUAGGCACACUCAAGCUCAAUUUUUUUCGUUAACAUAAAAUCAUAUUCGCAGUGAUGGUAAAAGUACUACUUAGAUGGAACAGGAGCCUUCCUACACAAGGGGACAAACAUGGGAGUACGCCUCUUCACUUCGCUUCGUCUCUGCACUGUCCAUUUGGUUUCUUCUGGUACCCUCAUUGGACUCGUAAUUAUUGGCGUACCAGGAUUUCCAACAUAGUGGCAAAAGUAUUUAAAGCUAACCCAGCAGCUCUGUAUCAAGCAGACAACAGCGGACUGUUUCCCAUACAUGUCGCUGCCUCCAUAGGUACCGUAGAAUUUUUUCUUCGGAAGUCCCCUAGUAGUGCUGGAUUGCGCAAUGCUAAAGGAAGGACGUUUCUUCAUGUUGCCGUUGAGAAAAGAAGAUGGGAGAUAGUCUCAUUUGUUUGUCAGACUCCAUCUGCAGAAUGGAUUUUGAAUAUGCAGGACAAGGACGGAAACACGGCACUGCACUUAGCUAUCAAAAGUAGGAUGCUUAUGAUGUGCAGUGCUCUACUUGGGAAUAAGAAAGUGCAUCUACAUUUAUCAAAUGUCAAAGGGCAUACUCCCCUUGAUCUUUCCAGAAGCAAUCUUCCUCGGGGCAUGUACUAUGCUCUGGUAAUAUAUUUUGACCUUAACAUUAAGAAUUUUCUCCUUCUGUGGGCCCAUUCUGAAUUUGUCGCUCAUGCUUCUGUGGCUGUUUCUUUUCAGACCGCUGAAAGCCGGAUACAUAUGGCUCUCAAAUUAUUUGGUGCAAAGCACAGUGGUCUUCGCUGUGAUCACAUUGAGCAAAAGUAUAGACGUCCUCUGAACCAAAAGGAGAAGAAGAAACAAUCAAAUUUGAUUAAAGAUACAACGCAGAUGUUUAUUGUCGUUGCAAUCCUGAUAGCAACUGUGGCUUUCGGUGCAACUUUCGCCAUUCCUGGAGGUUACAAAGCAGAUGAUCAUUUGAAUGGAGGCACACCAACACUUGCUGGGAGGUAUAUUUUCGACGCAUACAUGAUGGCCAACACGUUGGCUUUUGUUUGCUCCACUGUAGCUACUCUUGCCCUCGUAAUAUCUGGAUCUACUAUGGUUGACUUGGGCACCCGGCAAUGGAACUUGAAUGCAGCUGUUUUUAUGUUGUCGAGUUCAGUCACAAGCAUGACGGUUGCUUUUGCACUUGCUGCGUAUAUGGUGCUAGCUCCGGUUGCUCGUAGCACUGCUAUUGCGAUCUUUAUGAUUAGCCCUCUCCCUGUGCUAUAUAGAAAUGUGGAGAAAAUAUUUAAAUGGGGUUUUCUUGCACGGGCGCGACUUGUUAGGAUGGGACCAAUCCCAACAAUAUUGAAUUUUUUCGCAGUGGUGGUCAUUCAGAUGAUACUGAUGGAUCUUUGGCCCCUCAUUGCUACCUUUGCUUGGGCUGCAUUUGCAAGGAUCCACCACUGAUUGGGGAGAACCGCGAAAUAUAUGAGAAGGGAUGAGGCAUUAAUCAUGAUUUUAACCUUAAAUGUUGAGAUGUUAUGUUACCGUAGUUUCGGUGUGCGUUGUACUGCCUUGUGUGACUUAAUUUGUUUGGUUAGACUGCUUUGUGUGCUUUUAAGUUAUCAAUAAAUUAAGUGAUGUUACUUCUACAUGUCUUGUACAGCUGCAUUGAGUUCAUAGAUGAGUGCUCCCCAAACUAUUCAUUGUUUUCCUUUUCGUAACGUUGGUCCGAUCACAGUUUCUAAAUAUGACAAUUCUCAUGGAAUUCAGAUAAAUGAGUGCUCCCCAGCUUUGGACAGGGUCGAAUUGUCAUAUUUUACCACAAUCAAGCAGAUGCAUCCAUGUAACCUCCGAUGGCAAGAGUAUUUGCUGAAUAUCAGAGAGUUGUCAGAUCACAAAUUUCAGUUCCAAAAACAGAAAAUUUACCCAGCCGACAAACACAUAUCAAGCCAGAAAGAUUUUAUUCUUACUUUCUCAAAUAGAGAUGGACUACUAGGCAUGAGGACUCGACCGACGAGAUGGGAGAAUGAACAAAUAAGAACGACGGGCAAAAGCAAGAACAGCGAGAAUGCUAGAAAUUUAGGUAAAGAAGUAAAUGCAUGGACCAAAUCAGAGAUGAGGAGCUGACAAUGCGACGGCGCCUGCACAACUACUACUCUACCAUAGUGUUCUAGAUCGAGUUUCGUGCUCUUCGAUAACCCUUACAAGUCCAGACCUCACCCUAAUAUGCAGUGGCUUGGUCAUUAACGAAAGAACACAUUAACUGAACACUAGGUAUUACCAUCCGGCAAGCGCCUGCUCAGAGCUAAUUGAAGCGGAGCUUGCUGUAGGCCGUCAGGUGUUGCAACGUACGAAGAUGGUGAAGUCGCUCAGUCGUUCUGUUUGUGGCCGACUUGCUCUGCAUCACUAAGACUGACGAAACUGAGGCCUUGUUUAGUUGCUAAAGUUUGGAGGUGCCAAAUUACUGUUACAGCAUUGUAGCACACUGUAGCGUUUCGUUUGUAUUUGUGAAUUAUUGUCCAAACAUUGACUAAUUAGGCUCAAAAGAUUUGUCUCGCAAAGUACAACAAAAUUGUGCAAUUAAUUUUUAAUUUCGUCUACAUUUAGUACUCCAUGCAUGUACCGCAAGUUUGAUGUGAUGGAGAAUCUUCUUUUUACAUAGUGCCAAAGUUGGGAGUUGGGGGUGAACUAAACAAGGCUGAAUGAAUAAAAGGUCAAGUAUGCAUUUGUCUUCCUGACACGAGAGGGAACAGAUGGGGUCAAAUUUGUUAGUCAAACGCCUCAGCUCUGGCCAACGGCCUGGCGCAACGGCCGCGCCCAGUGCGCGCACGCACGCCCACCACGGCGUCCCGCUCCCUCCGCUCGCUCCCGCGGGACUCGUUCUCAUCUGCUCAUAGCCGAUAGACUCAAUGUACAUGUAUGAAUAUGUAAUCUCAUGAUCAAUACAAGCUGUGCAGUUUGAUCUCUCUCGAGUAUUCACUCUCUUCAAAAUUGAAGAGGUUUCAGAGAUGAAACAACAAGCAGCAGAAAUAUUGCUUACUGAGCAGAGACAGGUUUUGCACAAGUAUAAGCAUUUGACACCUCUCCUAUUUAAAUGCAUGUUCUUGCGAUGGGGGGCAGAGCAACGAGCGCCCCAGAGUGGAGGACGAAGAGGAGAGAGGAGAGGCGGUGGGGCGGCUUUUCUGGGGCACAGUGCAGGCGCACCGUGGGCAGGGCGCUAGGAGCGGCACGGGCGCAAGGCGGCUGGGCACGACGACGCCAGCGAGCAGCAUGCCACGGCGCACGGCUGCAGGCCUGCUGACGGCAGGCAGGCGGCGGCGAGCGCGGCGCAGAAUUAGUCCAGCAGGCUGAAGCAGUGCAGCACCAGUUUGGGAGAAAUCGAGCAAGUACUAAGGUACCCAGGUAUUUAAAUGCGAUUCUCUCUACAAUUAGCCCCUGUUUUGUUGUAAUUUUUAGAUGUUCAGCAUUUGGUUAAGGAUUUGAUGGCAUAUUGCCAUUGGUCAAGAACUUAAAAUGUAAAGAGCACAUCUCGUCAAGAGAACCAAAAAGAAGGAAAAAAAAAACGUGGGCACACAAACGCAACUGGGAUAGAGGCGCACACACACUCACCACCCAGGAUAGUAGGAUAAUGACAAGACACACUACCGAUUCAGAAUUGUUCAGGUGCAUACAUCAAUGGUUCAAUACAGGAGCAAGAGAAAUGAACCAUUGACAGCGGCAUGCGUCAAUUGUUCAGAUACAAUUGCAUAGAGGAGAUGGAUAAGUCCGGUGACAAAUCCAGGAUUUGGAGUAUUUACAGUGGCACCACAGAAAUUACCAUCUUUUUUUUUAUCAAACAGGCCGGUUUGGGUUCUGGGCAAGCUGGGCCCGCACGUCUUCCACGAAUGCUUCACUGCCCUCGAAGCUACUGUUGCUCAGCUCAAAUUUCUUGAGGCUUUGUAGGGAUGCUAGCCCAGAAAACAACCCAGCAUUGAUUAUUCCAUCACGGCCACUGUGACUAACAUCACAAGCUUAGGCGCUGUUCCGUCUUUAAACUGCACAGAUUUGACGUCGAUCUCACCUCCUGAGCAUCUCUGUACGCCAGUCAGUUGCAGCGCCACUAGACUAGUUCUGUUGUUGAUCAGUCAAAUGAGAUCUGCUUUGGACUUGUUCUGUUGCCGCUGUGCUUCCUCGAUGCCUGACGUUGGUGGACUUGGAUCUUGAGAUGGCUUCUUGAGAUGAACGGAACAAUCUUGGAGGCAAUCCUCAGCAUCAUAGGCCACAUCACACCCAGUUCAUGACUCAUGAGCACCUUGUGGUUGUCAGAGAUCACAUGACGAUGAACACCGGCGAGCUCCCAGGAACACACGAACACGAGUAGACGCAAGAGGAUUUUGUGCUGUGAUGAAGCUGCAGCUUUUCUGUUGUUGUAUUCUCCCUUUUAUUGACCAAUUACAACCGAAAAGAAAAUGAGCGCAUGAGCGCUUCUCUCGCCACGACAAUGCCGCGUCCAUCCCCACAAGGCACGACGCGAGAGUGUAUCCCGUAGCCCAAAGACUCGGUCUGCUGCGAGCUAUUCUCGCCACGACCUGAACUGACAUGCAAGACAAUCACACAACUCGUGGGCUCAUUCAUGUGACAGACACAACACAAAAUAAAGUAACCAAGACACGUACAAGAUUUGGUUAACACAUCUCCCCCCCAAACCUUGUACCUUACUGGAUGUUGACGACGCUGAUCCUGGAACGGAGCUCCGUGAACUUCAGCACCCAAGUGGUUUUGUCAGAAUGUCCGCAAGCUGCCCAUUGGUGCCAAUGUGUUGGACCUUCACCCUGCCUUCCUCAAUGCAUUCUCUGAUGUAGUGAUAUCUUGUUUCAAUAUGUUUACUGCGAUCAUGGAACACAGGGUUCUUACUGAGCAUUAUUGCAGAUUGGUUGUCAAUCUUCAAAGUGAUGGCGCCUGCUUCCUCUCCCCUGAGCUCAGCAAGAAGACACGCCAACCACACACCCUGGCAGGCAGCUGUCGUAGCUGCAAUGUACUCUGUCUCACAUGAGGACAGAGCAACAACCUUCUGUUUUUUCCAGGUGAUCAAAUUGUUGUCGAGGAAGAAGACACCCGUGGUGCUCUUGCACGUGUCGAUGUCGCCCGCAAGAUCACUGUCGCUGUAGCCGACGAGUUCAGCUACUCCAAUCCUCCUCUUGUAGUGGCAGCCGUAGUUGACAGUACCUGCAACAUAGUGCAGCACUCUUUUCAUGGCCGCCAGGUGCUCAGCCGUUGGAGAAGCCAUGAACCUAAUGAUGUAGCCAACAGAAAAUGCCAAGUCCGGUCGCGAGUUCACCAAGUAUCUCAGUGAGCCCACAAUCCUUUUGAACUCGGUGGCGUCGACAGGUGGAGCAGUGCUGGCGUUGCAAAGCUUGAGACGAGGCUCCAUGGAAAUCUGACUGGGAUUGCACCCAGCCAUGCCGGCCAUCUCCAAGAUCUUCGCUGCAUAGGCACCCUGACUUAAGUGAUGUCGUGUUCGGUUUGUUUAACUUCCAAGCCGAGGUAGUAGUGCAGUAGCCCAAGGUCGCUCAUCUGAAAUGUGCCAUUCAUCUCCUGCUUGAACAGCUCCAGUUUGCCAUGGUCACUACCGGUGAUGACGAGGUCGACGACGUAGACUCCCACCACCAGGCGAUGUUCUCCCUGUUGGAAAAUUCAGAGAUGGUCAAAAGGCUGAGAAAGAGGAAGGGGAGGAUAAGGAAACACGCUCGAGACUCGGACUCGCGACCGACACCUCGCACCUUGAUCGGAGGUGCAAUCAACUUGUGAUUGCGGUCCCAGGUCGCCCAGCACCAUAAUAAAAGGGGGGCCCGGCUGGUUUUGAGGCUAACCUAAUAAAGGCCAAACCCACGCACGUCCCCUAACAUUAGCAUCCCGAUCUCUGGCGGUGCUGAAGCCAUCUGAAGGCCAUCGCCGUCCUACUAUCGCUGUCUCUGGCCAAACAAGGUGGAGCCAGAGGGUCGAUGUGAUCUCCUACGAGCUAGUACAACUACAGCAACAACAUCCCCAGCUUCGUCUCCCACUCUCAUGGCUGGAUCAUCACCCAACAUUGCUGCCGGUUGUGCUUCCAAUCUUUACUAAGAUGUGUUCAUGUUCUAGGUGUUAAGAUCGUGGUUUUUGUUAAUUUAAGCAAUGUAGAUGCAAGGCGUCGGCGGCACGCUCUAGCUAGCGGCGGGCAGCGGAUGGCGCUGGAACUUCCGGAGCCACCACUACGCCUAAGAUGCGCUCGCUCUGCCAUCAUGCCCCGCAGUGGACCCCCUUGACGGAUCCGCUCACGACUCGGUCGCACGCCAGCUCUGGCAAGAGGGCCCACGGUGGAGCCAGGCAAGGGCAGGCGGGCAGGUGGCGACCAGCUGGGCUAGGGGAGGAGAGGAGAGUGGCGGCGCAGAGGCAAAAGAAGGGGAGGGCUGCAGCGGAGAGGCUGGGGGAUAGGGGAGUCGAAUGCACUAGGGCUUUCCCCGGAGCCGGUCGGCACGCUUUUUUUAUUCCUCCAAUCCACGCGCUCGACUGUCGGAUCUGAUGGAUGGCGGCGAUUGAGGCAACCGGCCGCAGCGCGCGCCGUUGGGCCAAAAUGGCGACCAAGCCAUUAGCUGCUGGGCUCUAGCCCAUGGCAUGCGCAGGGAGAGCUGGCCGCAUGCGGGCUGGGCUUGCACGGGCCUCUAGCAAGCCGUAAGUUAGGCCGCGCCUCGCCGCCAUGUCAGCUGGGCUGCCUUGCGUCUGCUAGGCUGCGGUUUCUUGCGCGUUGGGCCGCCGGCUCGCACGAGCCGUUGUUGUUCAAGCUGCACAUGAGGACUUCUCUGGAGGUUGACUUGGGCCGCUCGCACGGGCCACUGUCAGGCUGCUGCUAAGCGAGCUGGGCCAAAAGGAUUUGGGCCGCUGUGGGCUGAUUUUGAGCUCAGGCUGGUUUUAAGUUUUUCACAGCCCACUCACUAUUUUGCCUUUAGCCUUUAGUAUUUAUCCUUUGUGCAAUUUAAUUUCCAUGAGUAAUUAAUUAUGCUAAAUUACUUUUUGUAUAGCAUAAUUAACCUGAUUAAUUUUAAGUGAUAAUAUUCUAAGUAAAUAGAACCAAUGUGAAAUUUAUUUAGAAUUAUUUCAUGUUUAUUUGGGCACAUAAUUAAUUUCUAACCAACAUUGUUAUUAAUUGGUUGUCCAUAAAUAUUUUAAUUAAGUUAUUUUGCUUCUACCCAACAGUGAUGCAAAAUUAUUUCAUGUCAUUUUGCCUUUGCUUCUGCCAACGGUGAUAUAAAGUUGUUUAUUUAUGUUUUUAAUCGAGUCAACGUAGAUUAAAUUUAUUGCUUAUUAUUGUCAUCAUUAUUGAUUAAAAUUCUUUCAUUCAGACUUGACUCCUUCCAGCGUCAUAAGCUAUAUCAAUGGCAUAGAGAAACUUGGAGGAGGCAACUUCACCACCUGGAAGAAUCAGAUUGGCUUGGUCCUAUGCGUUAUGGAUCAGGACCACUCCACGAGGGACGAUCUUCCUAUUGCUCCUACUACUCAAGGGGAUAAUGAUACUACCCUUCUUGAGCACACUAUUGCCUAUAGAAAGAAAAGGAGCAGUGGGAGUGAUCAAACAGGGUGGUCCUUAUGAUAAUGGAGCAGACCACAAACCCGGCAAUAAGGGGAGCUAUUAAGAAAAAUCCCAAAAUGCCAAAUACUUUAUGGAAAAGGUUGAGGAGUAUUUCAAAGGCUACACUAAAUGUAAUGCUAGAACCAUCAUGUCUAAGUUAAUGAACACUAAGUAUGAUGGGCAAGGCAGUGUUAGGGAGCAAAUCACGAGCCUCAUUGACCUAAGGGAUAAGCUCAACGACUUGAAGUGCCCUCUCAAUGAUGAGACACUGCUUCACUACAUCAUGCUUUUGUUGCCCUCAGUGUUUGAUCCCUUCAUGAUCAACUAUAAUGGCAGCGACGCGAAGUGGGAUAUUCCCACAUUAAUCGCGAAGUGCAGUCAGGAAGAAGAGAGGCAAAGAUCUGAGAAGGGCGAUUUUGCCAAUCUCAUUAGGCACGAGGUGAAUAAGGGCAAAAAUAAGCAAUUUAGUAAAUAAGGUCAUUUAGUAAGUUCAUAACAAUUUCUGUAAAGCAAGGGGCAAAGCUUCUAUGACAGCUUCCCCCUCAUUGCCAUCGUCGGCCUUCCCCAGCUCCCCUCCUUGUUUGGCCCGAGCCAAAAAGAGGUUGAUCCACUUCAUUCGCCAAGCGAAUGAUCAUCGCUUCACGGGAACAACAAAAACCACCAUCUCGCUCCUUCCUUUCUUCGAUGCUACCUUUUUUUUUCCAAGGGAUGGGGUUGGGUGGCCAUCCUCAUCUAAGGGUGGCCAUCCUAAAUGCCAUCACUGCAAGAAUUAUGGACACAUUAAGAAGCACUGUGCUCAUUUUAAGGAAUGGUGCGUCAAAAACGGUAAUGAUGAUUUUAUUUCUAUAGUCGAUGAGUCCCUUUAUGUUGAUUUUCCAUUAAGUACAUGGUGGAUUGAUUCUGGUGCAACCAUUCAUGUUACUAAUUCCUCACAGGGAGUACGUGGUGCGUGGACUAUAAGAAAGGGGAACGUGCCAUUAAAGUUGCAAAUGGAGUUGACGCUGAAGUUGAGGUGUUGGAGAUCUCACAUUAGAACUUAGCAGUAGCUUCAGGCUUCAUUUAAAUAAUGUUCUUUAUGUACCAUUGCUUAAAAGAAACUUGAUUUCUAUUUCAUCAUUAGAUUUUGGUGGUUAUUCCUACAACUUUGGGAACAAGUGUGUAAUAAGUUUUGACAAUAAGAUUAUUUGUCAUGCCCCUUUACAUGAUAAGCUUUACUUGUUGCCUCUAAGUACUAAUUCUUCUGUGAUGAAUGUAAGUGAUGUCAACCAUAAGUGAAAGAGAAAUAUUGAGACUUCGUCGAAAUUGUGGCACUUCCACUUAGGCCACAUUUCGAAGGGGAGGUUGGAGCGUCUCAUUAGAGAAGAGAUACUUCCAAACUUAAAUUUCUCUGACUUAGAUCAAUGUGUUGACUAUAUUAAAGGAAAAUUUGAAAAACAAAUUAAAAAGGAUGGAGCUAAGUGUAGUUUAGGAUUAUUAGAAAUAAUUCAUACUGAUAUAUGCGAUCCAUUUAAUGUAAGAUCAGUGGAUGGUUAUAACUAUUUCAUUACCUUCACUGAUGAUUUUUCCCGUUAUGGAUACAUCUAUCCCUGAAGCACUUGAUAAGUUUAAAAUCUUUAAAGUUGAGUAGAAAAUCAGCAUGACUUAAAGAUCAAAGUAGUAAGAUCAGAUAGGGGAGGGGAGUAUAUUGGGAAACACUCCACAUAUGGACAAAUUAUGGGACCCUUUUGCCAGAUUUCUCCAAGAUAAUGGCAUAGUAGCUCAGUAUUCCACUCCUGGUGAGCCUCAGCAAAAUGGUGUUGUUGAGAGAAGAAAUCGCACCUCUAUGAACAUGGUGCAUAGUAUGCUUAGUACCUCUAUGCUGCCAGUGAGUCUGUGGAUGGAAGCUUUAAAGAUUGCCGCACAAAUUAAUAAUCGUGUUCCUAGUAAGUCAGUCCCUAAGACUCCUUAUGAAUUUUGGACUGGUAGGAAGUCUAGCAUGAAUUAUUUACAUGUGUGAGGUUGUGCAGCUGAAACAACGGUAUUUAAUCUGCAACUUGGAAAAUUAGAUCCUAAGACCGAAAGCUGUUAUUUUAUUGGAUAUCCGAAAAAGUUAAAGGGGUACCGCUUUUAUUGUCCUAAGCAUACCACUAAGUUUGUAGAGACAAGGCAUGAUGUCUUCUUAGAGGAAACUGGAUGCACAUAGGCUAGAAAAAUUGAUCUUGAGGAGAUUCGAACCUAUGAGCCGUUACCCAUGAGUCAGGAUUAUUAUGCUCCUAUGUCAUAUACCACAAUUACAUCUCAGGUGGUGGAAUCCCCAGUAGAAAAUGUGGGAGUAACACCUACCUUAAGUGAAAAUGUAGAUGCACCUGUAAUAAGUGAGCAUCAAAGUGAAGAUGUGGUAGAACCUACUGAUGGAUUGCAACGGGAGGCCACUGAUGAGCCCGAGGUGGUUCAGUAGGAACCUGCUCAAGUAGAAGCACCGCAGGUAGUAGCACCACAUCAUCUGAGAAGGUCAACGUGUGAUAGGAAGUCCACCCUUUCCGAUGAGUAUGUGUACAUAAGUGAAGAGGGACACGACAUGGGGAAGGUGGAUGACCCAAACUCAUUUAAGGAAGCCAUAAGAAGUGAGCACUCACAUAAGUGGUGCGAGGCCAUGGAAGAAGAGUUGAAGUCCAUGGAAGCAAAUAGAGCAUGGGACUUAGUAGAAAUUCCUGAAGGAGCCAAGACAAUAAGCUGUAAAUGGAUCUACAAAACUAAAUAUGACUCUAAAGGGAAGAUCAAAAGGUUUAAAGCAAGACUCAUGGCUAAGGGCUUCACACAAGUAGAAGGAGUCGAUUAUAACCAAACCUUCUCGCAUGUCUCAAAAAAAUAUUCAUUUAGCAUCGUUAUGGCUUUAGUAGCUCAUUAUGAUCUUCAGCUGCAUCAGAUGGACGUUAAGACUGCGUUCCUUAAUGGUGACUUGCAUGAGAAUAUGUUCAUGACGCAACAUGAAGGUUUUGUCAUGGAAGGCAAGGAACAUAUGCGAUGCAAACUAAGAAAAUCCAUUUAUGGGUUGAAACAAGCAUCCAGAUAAUGGUACCUUAAGUUUGAUGAAGUGAUUAAGAGAAUUGGCUUCAUUCAAAAUAAGAAGGAUAAUUGCGUAUAUGUUAAGACUAAGGGGAGCUCUAUAAUCAUCCUAAUACUUUAUGUGGAUAACAUCCUAUUAGCAAGCAGCGAUAAGAACUUGCUACAUGAGACAAAGGGUUUUCUCUCAUCGAACUUUGACACGAAGGACCUUAGUGAUGCUGCUUAUGUCUUAGGUAUUGAGAUUCAUCGAGACAGGUCCAAAGGUGUAUUAGGACUCUCUCAAAGAGCUUACAUAGAGAAGGUCCUUGAAAGAUAUAAUAUGCACCAAUGUUCAGGCACAGCUGCUCCAGUUGUUAAGGGUGAUAAGUUUGGGUCAUUCCAAAGUCCCAGGAAUCAAUUAGAAACUGAUCAAAUGAGAACGAUUCCUUAUGCUUCAGCUGUUGGAAGCAUAAUGUAUGCACAAGUGUGUACAUGCCCUGACUUGGCCUUUAUUAGCAAGAUGCUUGGAAGAUAUCAAUCCAAUCCAGGAAUGGGCUACUGGAAAGGAGUUAAGAAAGUUUUGUGUUAUAUGUAAUGCACUAAGAAUUACAUGCUUACGUAUAAGAGAAUUAAGAAAUUAGAGAUAAUCGGCUAUUCAGAUGCUGAUUUUGUAGGCUGUGUUGACACAAGAAGAUCCACAUCAGGUUAUUUCUUCACACUUGCAAAUGGGGCUAUAUCGUGGAAAAGCUCCAAACAAACACUAACAGCUACAUCAACAAUGCAAGCUGAGUUUGUGGCAUGUUAUGAAGCUAUGGGGCAAGCUGUAUGGCUUAAGAGUUUCAUCCCAGGAUUAAGAGUGGUAGACAGCAUAAGUAGGCCACUAAAUUUAUACUAUGAUAAUAAGUGAGCAGUUUUCUAUUCGAAUAACAACAAGUCAAGUGAUGCUGCAAAGCACAUUGAGAUUAAGUAUCUUGUUGUGAAAGAUAGAAUCCAAGAUUACACCAUUGAGUUAGAGCAUAUAAGUACUAAAAAAAUGCUUGCAGAUCCAUUAACCAAAGGCUUACCUCCCAUUAUAUUCAGUGAACAUGUUGCCGGCAUGGGAUUAUCGGAUAGCCUAUGAUUUUGGAGGGUCAUAAGACAACCGCCUCCCAUUAUGAUAGGUAGUUUUAUACAUUGUGGACAACAGUGUCACAGUGAGAUUUUAAUCACUAUUGUAACACAUUGUCUCCCUGCACAAUUCUGCUUUAAGAAUGGCAUAAGUUAUAGGCCUUUAGACCAAAGGAGAGAAUGUUGGAAAAUUCAGAGAUGGUCAAAAGGCCAAGAAAGAGGAAGGGGAGGAUAAGGAAACACGCCCAAGACUCGGACUCGCGACUGCCACCUCGCGCCUUGAUCAGAGGCGCAACCAACUCGUGGUUGCGGCCCCAAGUCGCCUAGCGCCACAAUAAAAAGGGGGGCUCGACUAGUUUUGAGGCUAACCUAAUGAAGGCUAAACCCACGCAUGCCCCCUAACAUUGCCAUCGCGAUCUUUGGCGGCACUGGAGCCAUCUGAAGGCCACCGCUGUCCUACUAUCGCCGUCUCUUGGCCAAACAAGGUGGAGGCCAGAGGGUCGACGUAAUCUCCUACGAGCCAGUACAACUAUGGCAACGGCAUCCCUAGCUUCGUCCCUGACUCUCAUGGUUGGGUCAUCACACAAUGUUGCUGCCGGUUGUGCUUCUAAUCUUUACUAAGAUGUGUUCAUGUUCUAGGUGUUAAGGUCCUGAUUUUUGUUAAUCUAAGCAAUGUUGAUUGCUACACUCCCACUCCACGCAGGUACAAAGCAUGUUCUAAGAUGCUCCGCUGGAACUUAAGUGACACGAACGACGCGUCCAACUUGGCGUACCAGGCCCGCGGUGCUUGACGAAGUCCAUAGAGUGCCUUGGUCAGGCACAUAACCUUGUGUUGCUGGCCCAUGACAUCGAACCCGAGCGGCUGGACCACGUACGCCUCCUCCUGCACCUCACCAUUGAGAAAGGCAGACUUGACAUCCAUAUGAUGGACAUCCCAUCCUUCGCUCGCCGCGUGUGCAAGUAGCAAGCGCACUGACUUAGUCUUGCCACCGGAGCAAACGUGUCAUCGAAGUCGAUGCCCUACUGUUGCACAUACCCUUUUGUCACGAGCCACGCUUUGUGCUUGAUGAUGUUCCCUGUGGCGUCCUUCUUCAUCUUAAAGACCCAUUUGAGUCCGAUCGGGUGCUUGCAAAGAGGAGGAUCAAUGAGCUGCCAUGUUCCGUUGGAUUAAAUCGAUUUCAACUCCUCGGCCAUUGCUUCCUGCUAGCAGUGCUCUUGUUGCACCUCUGCCAGCGUCACCGGCUCCUCGGUGCUCACUAGCAGCAAGUCUUCCUCAAGCUCCCAUGUUGUAAACCCCGACGGUGAAGCCAGGCCUAGCAUGUUGUCGACAUGGCGGAACCACAGGGGCGCAUCGUCAUGGUCAUCGUACUACUCCUGGAGGCGGGGACACAAACUGGACUGGUGAGAGGUCAGUUCUGGUUGAGGCCAUCGGUACUGCAAGUGUACACGGACUUGGUGCCGCUGUUGGUGUAGGCUGCUCCACGAUGUUCAUCUUGAUGAUGACGCGCGGCUGGAACAUGGUGUUGUACUUGUUGUCAUCGUCGCUCACAAUCUCAUCUCCGCUCCACCGCCACUGAGCUAGCUCAUCGAAGAUCACGUCUCUACUAAUGUGGAUGCGUCUGGUGGCCGGGUCGUAGACUCAGUACACCUUUGAGCCUAGUUCAUAGCCAACGAAGAUCAUCGGCUUGCUCCUGUCAUCGAGCUUCUUAACACUACGUGUUGUGGUCUUCACAUGUGCCACACAUCCGAAUGUGUGGAGGUCAUGUACCGCUAGCAUGCUUCAAUGCUAGAGUUCAUAGGGGGUUUUGCCUCUGAUGCUCUUGGACGACGAUCUAUUCAGGAGAUAGACAGCGGUAGUGACCGCCUUCCCCCAAAACAUACAUGGCAGCCCUUUGACCUCAGCAUGCUCCUCACCGUGCCUACCACCGACUGGUUGCAGUGCUCGAUGACGCCAUUCUGUUGUGGCAUGUAUGGUGAUGUGAGCUCGCGUCGCAUGCCAAGCUCUGCGCAGUAGUCGUUGAAGUCGGUGGUGUUGAACUCUCCUCCACGGUCAGUGCGCAGAGCAAGGAGCUUCCUGCUACUCUUGCGCUCCACCACCACCUGGAUGCAUUGGAUCGCCGUCGGAGCACCAUCUUUACUCGGAAGCAAAGUGAUCCACAUGAAAUGGCUAAAGUCGUUGAUGAGAAGGAGGAAGUAGCAGUUCCCGCUCGGUGUUGCUGGCAUGAUUGGCCCACAAAGGUCGUCGUGCACAAGCUCCAGGGGCUUCCUCGCACGGCUCUACGCCUGGUGUAGGAACGCCGCAUGACGAUGCUUGCCCGUGAGGCAGGCCUCGCACACCUGCUCCACUUGUGAGAGCACGGGUAAUCCCCGCACAAGUCCCUCACGACACAUCUUGCGCAGCGCGGUGAAGUUGAUGUGCCCAAACCGAGCGUGCCACCUCCAAGCAUCCUCACCGCCGCACGCCGCGUGACACACUGGUCGUGCAAUGUCAAGGUCGAGCAUGUAGAGUCGGCUUGGAGUCCUAUGAACCUUGGUGAGGAGGCGACGAUUCUCAUCGUGGAUCUACAUCACACCAUCUUCGAUCAGUACCUGAUACCCGCGCUCAUCCAGCUGCCCAACAGUGAUGAUGUUGGCAGUCAGACACGGGAUGUAGUAGACAUUGGUGAGGCAACGGUGUUCCCUAUUCUUGCAAGCGUAGAGGAUGGUGCCGCACCCUUCGAUUUGGACGACGGACCCAUUGCCGAACCGCACUGUGCUGGUGGUGCCGCUGUCGAUGUCGAAGAAUGCGGCCCGGGACCCCGUCAUGUGGUUUGUGGCCCCAGUGUCUAGCAUCCACCAGCAUGGAUCCCGCUACUCCGAGCCUCCAAACGCGGCAAAGACCUUUGCUUCCACCAGCUCCAUGCCGCCUCACGAGCGCUGGGAGCAGACGUCCUCAGCCUGGGCCACCAGCGCCUAGGGCUCAGGUGCACCGGGCGCAAGCGGGUGACAUUCGACUGCCUUGGAGCCAGCUAUGGCCCCAGUCUAUGCGGUGAGAGGUGGCGGCGGCAAGGGGAUGGUUGCUGUGGCGGGGAUCGGUGGAGUUGCAGAUGCGGCAUUGGUGGCGUUGACUUUAGCUUGGAGAAGAAGAAGCGUGGGCUCAUCAUCUUGCGCCACAUGGGCCUGCUCUUGCUUCGGCCGGCUUCGACAGUCUUUGGCCCAGGGGCCUUUCUUGCCGCAGCUCUUGCAGACGUCGUUGGGAGCGCCCCGGCUCGAGGUCCCGCUUGAGCGCGAGUCCAUGCUGCCUCCACCGUGACCGCGUGGCUUGCCACGGCGCUUGCCGCGCCCGUUGGAGCCAAAACUGUUGUGUUCAGCCUCCUGGGUCCCUCUUCUUGUAGCGUUCGAGCCACUCCUCCUCCGAGAGGUAGAGUUUGCCACCGGCACCGGUAGCUGGGGUUGGCUCUUGCCGGUCCUUCGCUGCCUUCAAUCUGCCUGUCACUUCCUCCACAGAGAGCUUUGAUAGAUCAAGCAUCGUUUCAAUGGAAAUAGCAACUUGAGAGAACCUAGGAGGGAUGACGUGGAGGUACUUCUCGAUGACCUUCUUCUCUUCGAUUGGAUCACUGAGGGUGUCAAGCUGACUGACCAAAUCGGUGAGGUGGAGGGCAAAAUCUUCGAUAGCCUCGCCGUUCUUAAACGCGAGGGUCUCGAACUGUUGGCGCGCCUUCUGUGCUGAGGACUUGCAGAUCCGUUCGUCGCUGAUCCACAUCAUCUUGAAGCAGUCGCACGCCGCCUUGGCGGUCUUCUUGUUCCCCACGGUGGUGUACAUCUUCGGGGGGAUGCCGCUGCACACGGCCUCCAGUGCCAUGCAGUCUUCGACGUAGUCAUCGGUGCCGUGCUUGACUGCAUCCCAGAGUCCGCGCACCUGGAGCUUGAUCCUCAUCAUCACAGCCCAUUGCUCGUAGUUGUUCUUCGUCAGGAUGGGGGUAGUUUGCCAAUCCUCCCGCCUCCUUGACCACGCGUUGAAUCACCAGCCCGUGGUUAUGGUUCCUGCCGCUGCCCGAGGUGCGGCCGCCGAAAGCUGACGGAGGGGAGGCGCUACAUCUGCGAGGCAUGGAGAUGCUCUCGAGAGUGUGAUCACGGACCCACAACCUGUAUCUGGCUCUGAUACCAAUUGUCAGAGAUCACAAGACGAUGAACGCCGGCGAGUUCCCAGGAACACACGAACACGAGUAGAUGCAAGAGGAUUUUGAGCUGCGAUGAAGCUGCAGCUUUUCUGUUGUUGUAUUCUCCCUUUUAUUGACUGAGUACAACUGAAAAGAAAAUGAGCGCAGCAAGCGCUUCUCUCGCCGCGACCAUGCCGCGUCCAUCCCCAUGAGGCACGACGCGAGCUAUUCUCGCCAUGACCUGAACUGACAUGCAAGGCCAUCACACAACUCGUGGGCUCAUGCAUGUGACAAACACAACACAAAAUAAAGUAACUAAGACACGUACAAGAUUUGGUUAACAGUGGUCGUCUCACUCCUCGUGCACGGCCCUCAGGAAAGCCUGCAUCAUCUCGAGAUCUUAUCUGGCUGUAAGCUGGCACAUCUCGAUCGAGGACAUUGUGAAGGCAGAUUAAUACAGGAGUAGCUCUGGGGCCAGUGUUCAUGUGGCCCUGCGCAGCUCGAUGAAUUUGUGAAGAUAGGUUAAUUAAAGCAAGAGUAUGUUUAGGGCCAAUGGACGGCCAUGUGACCCGGAAGAACCUCCACCCGAUCGACCCAGAUCAUUAUGAAGCCAGAAAUGAUUAAUGUUAAUCCUCUGUUUACUUCAGGCAUUUUUGUACAGGUAGCUUUUAGGAUGUCUAAAAAACGGAUGCCUUCAUCAAAAGAAAAAAGCCCAGAUGCACAAGACGUACAAAAAUCCCAGAAGCACAGAAGCUGGAACAGAUACUAGAUCCUAAUACUUGUAAGAGAGAUCCUAUUAAAAAAAUGAAGGUUCUAAAAAAAUAUAUGAAAACAUGACUUGCAUUGUAUUGGGUAAACGGAGAGGAUCGGAGGGCACAUGGACCCCGGGAGAACCUGCACCAGAUCAUAUCAUUAUGAAGCCAGAAACAAUUAAGAUUAAGACUUAUUGUGCGAGAGAGCAACUAAUUAAAAACACGACUUGCGUUUGGUAAACGGAGAGGAAGGACGACUUGGCAUUUGUUUUAAGAGUGCAUCGAGAUCGGAGUUGCGAGCAGAACCGACCAGAAACACCGCAUCCUCAUCCAACUUGAAAGUUGAAACCACAAAGCACUGGUAGAUGGCAAGCAUCAAUGAAGAAGAAGCUCCUAGUUCUCCAAAUGCUCCGACAGUAGCCAUGGACGCCAAGCUGAUGGUGGCCGCAGACCGUGGCGAUGUCAAGAAGUUGAAGGGUCUGCUGAACAAGGAGGAUGCCAUGGCGAUGGUUGUGGUGACGGCGGCGACGAGCAAGAAGCCUUCCAAGGAGGACCAGUUCCCUGCUGGCCGCAUCAAUCCCCUCCUGCUGGCAUCUGCGUGCGUUGGCUCCUGGAAAGCACUGAACUUCCUUCUCGAGAGGGAAGACGCAAAGAAGGCACCAAUGGUGGCUCCUACUCAAGAAUUCCUUGAGUUGCUAGCAGGAGGCAGCGGCACCAAGGGAAGAAUUGCGGUGUCAGCUGCUGGUGAUGUAGAAGAGGGCGUUGACCACGAGCCUGCUCCGCCUGCAGCAGGAGCACUUCUCAAGGGCGUCACUCCAGAUGGGGACACAGCACUACAUGCAGUUGCCAGCAAUGGAGACAACGGCGAUGAUUUCUUGAAGUGUGCUGGCAUCAUCUGUGAUCGGGACAGGGACCUCCUGUUUGCGAAGAAUCACAUGGGCGACACACCCUUGCAUUGUGCUGUCCGUUCUGGGAGCUCCAAAAUGGUUUCUCGUCUCAUUGCUCUAGCUGAACAUGAGGGUGCCGAAGGGAAGCUCAAGCUCUUGAGAAUGGAGAACGAGCGUCACGAGACGGCACUGCAUGAGGCUGUCCGGAUUGAAGAUGGUAGAAUUCUGGAUGAUCAGGAGACACUUUAUGCUGUCCUAACUGAUGAAGACAUUAGAAGCCCGGGUCAUAAGGGUGAUGCUGACGGCGGCGGUGCACCAGAAGAGAAGAAUAUGGUCAGGCUGCUUAUGGGUUCUGAUCCCGAAUUGGCUAAUUAUCCUGCCAAAGGCAUUUCGCCUUUGUGCCUAGCCAUCUUGCUGGAGAAGGAUACCAUUGCAGUCACCCUUUAUAAAAAGAGUGGCGGCAAUCUCUCCUACUCUGGACCAGAUGGACAAAAUGCACUGCAUGUUGCGGUUCUCGGAGCUACUAGUACAAACACAGGUACCAACUAGAUGUGUCAAUUCUGUUAUAUAUACAUACUGCUUGCAUACCAUUUUUGCUUGUCAUAGGGCCAAUACAAUACAAAUAAUGGUUUAGAAUCAACAUGAUUAAACAGUAAUUCUGCCUUAGAGUUCAUUUAUCUGAAAAAGAACUAUCAUGGUCGUGUUUUCUUUUUCCACAGAUCAAAAAGAUGAUCUUGAGUCGUUGCACUUUAACAUUAUGUUUUGGGAUUUUUAAUUUACAUACAUCCCCAUUUUAUACCUUUUUUUCUCUGUGACACUUACCUAUGUCUUUUUUCACAUGUUUUGACCAAUGUCGUUUAUUCAUUAACACCCAGUAUGUAAGUUAAUGUCUCAUCUGUAAUCAUCUCUACAUAUCACAUUGUUGAUUUCCUCUAUAUAAGGGAGAAGUCCAUUCUUGAGCAUCCCACUCUUGUCAAAGUUCGAUUUUGGCCAUCCGAUUCAGAAACCAAAAUCCAUUGACCAACGAACGAGCAAAACUGGACAAAUUUGGUCAUCUUGCUGGUUUAGAAGGUGCUUAUUUGGAUCUUAUUUGUUCAUGUUCCUAAUGUAUUAUUGCUCAUAAUCACGCCUAUUAUUUAUUGAAUUUAUAGUUUUGUGUUACAUUAGACCUAGAGAUCAACCAAGAGGAUCUAGCGACUGUGAGUAUACAAAAGAUCUGGAAGAUGACAUGAACCUCUCCGGUGCCAUGCUCUACCACAUGCAAAACAUAUUUAGGUAUGGCAACUAGCAUGCCUUCGCUAGCCCUCCAAAUAAGAUUUAGUUAAUUUGACUCCAACAGAUUUGGUUCCCUACGUGGAGUAUGGAUCCUUUUAGUUGAUCUUCAGGUCUAAUAUAGUGUGAAAUUAUAAUUCAAAUAAAUAAAAGGGUGUGACUACGAGCAAUAUAACCCCAGAAAUUUGAACAAAUAAGAUCAAAAUAGCUCCUAAUUGAUCACCAACAGAUAGAUUGUAGCUUUAUAAAAAACAAUUUUGUGCUACAUAUUUAUCUGAUUUGAAAUAAGUUAGUUAUAAAUUUUCAGAGAUUAGCCCAACUUUUUAAUUUUAGAAAAUAUGUGUAGGGAGAACAACAUUCGAAACAAGAUAGAUGGCCAAAUUUGUCUUAUUUUGGUAGCCUAGAUGCUCAAUGAUUUCAGGUUUUUGAGUUGGAUGGUCAAAAUCAGACUCCAGCAAAAGUUGGAUGGCCAAAGGUGGACUUCUCCCAUUAAAUAAUUCCCGUUAUUUGGAGAGCUAUUGAGAUUUAGAUAAUAUAUAUAGGCACCCUCAAGCUCAAUUUUUUUUCAUUAACAUAAAAAUCAUAUUCGCAGUGAUGGUAGAAGUACUACUUAGAUUGAACAGGAGCCUUCCUACACAAGGGGACAAACAUGGGAGUACGCCUCUUCACUUCGCUUCGUCUCUGCACCAGGAUUCAUCUGGUUUCUUCUGGUGCCCUCCUUGGAUUCGUAAUUAUUGGCGUACCAGGAUUUCCAACAUAGUCGCAAAAGUAUUUGAAGCUAACCCAGCAGCUCUGUACCCCAUACAUGUCGCUGCCUCCGUAGGUACCACGAGUACCGUAGAAUUUUUUCUUCAGAAGUCUCCCAGUAGUGCUGGAUUGCGCAAUGCUAAAGGAAGGACGUUUCUUCAUGUUGCCGUUGAGAAAAGAAGACGGGAGAUAGUCUCAUUUGUUUGUCAGACUCCAUCUGCAGAAUGGAUUUUGAAUAUGCAGGACAAGGACGGAAACACGGCACUGCACUUAGCUAUCAAAAGAAGGAUGCACUGCACUGAAUAACAUUCAGAAUUUUCUCCUUCUGUGGGCCCAUUCUGAAUUUGUCGCUUCUGUGGCUGUUUUUUUUUCAGACCGCUGAAAGCCGGAUACAUAUGGUUCUCAAAUUAUUCGGUGCAAAGCACAGUGGUCUUCGCUGUGAUCACAUUGAGCAAAAGCAUAGACGUCCCUUGAACCAAAAGGAGAAGAAGAAAGAAUCGAAUUUGAUUAAAGAUACAACGCAGAUGUUUAUUGUCGUUGCAAUCCUGAUAGCAACUGUGGCUUUCGGUGCAACUUUCGCCAUUCCUGGAGGUUACAAAGCAGAUGAUCAUUUGAAUGGAGGCACACCAACACUUGCUGGAAGGUAUAUUUUCGACGCAUACAUGAUGGCCAACACGUUGGCUUUUGUUUCCUCCACCGUAGCUACUGUUGCCCUCGUAAUAUCUGGAACUACUAUGGUUGACUUGGGCACCCGGCAAUGGAACUUGAUUGCAGCUGUUUAUCUGUUGUCGAGUUCAGUCACAAGCAUGACGGUUGCUUUUGCACUUGCUGCGUAUAUGGUGCUAGCUCCGGUUGCUCGUAGCACUGCUAUUGCGAUAUUUAUGAUUAGCCCUCUCCCUGUGCUAUAUAGAAAUGUGGAUAGAAUAUUUAAAUGGGGUCUUCUUGCACGGGCGCGACUUGUUAGGAAGGGACCAAUCCCAACAAUAUUGAAUUUUUUCGGAAUGGCGGUCUUUGGCACGAUACUGAUGGAUCUUUGGCCCCUCAUUGUUACCUUUGCUUGGGCUGCAUUUGCAAGGAUCCACCACUGAUUGGGGAGAACCGCGAAACAGAUGAGAAGGGAUGAGGCAUUUGCAAGUAUAAGCAUUUGACACCUCUCCUAUUUAAAUGCAUGUUCUUGCGAUGGGGGGCAGAGCAACGAGCGCCCCAGAGUGGAGGACGAAGAGGAGAGAGGAGAGGCGGUGGGGCGGCUUUUCUGGGGCACAGUGCAGGCGCACCGGGGGCAGGGCGCUAGGAGCGGCACGGGCGCAAGGCGGCUGGGCGCGACGACGCCGGCGAGCAGCAUGCCAGGGCGCACGGCUGCAGGCCUGCUGACGGCAGGCAGGCGGCAGCGAGCGCGGCGCAGAAUUAGUCCAGCAGGCUGGAGCAGUGCAGCACCAGUUUGGGAGAAAUCGAGCAAGUACUAAGGUACCCAGGUAUUUAAAUGCGAUUCUCUCUACAAUUAGCCCCUGUUCUGUUGUAAUUUUUAGAUGUUCAGCAUUUGAUUAAGAAUUUGAUGGCAUAUUGCCAUUGGUCAAGAACUUAAAAUGUCAAGAGCACAUCUCGUCAAGAGAACCAAAAAAAAAAAGGAAAAAAAACGUGGGCACACAAACGCAACUGGGAUAGAGGCGCACACACACUCACCACCCAGGAUAGUAGGAUAAUGACAUGACACACUGUACCGAUUCAGAAUUGUUCAGGUGCAUACAUCAAUGGUUCAAUACAGGAGCAAGAGAAAUGAAAAAUUGACAGAGGCAUGCGUCAAUUGUCCAGAUACAAUUGCAUAGAGGAAAUGGAUAAGUCCGGUGACAAAUCCAGGAUUUGGAGUAUUUACAGUGGCACCACAGAAAUUACCAUCUUUUUUUUAUCAAAACAGGCCGGUUUGGGCUCUGGGCAAGCUGGGCCCGCACGUCUUCCACGAAUGCUUCACUGCCCUCGAAGCUACUGUUGCUCAGCUCAAAUUUCUUGAGGCUUUGUAGGGAUGCUAGCCCAGAAAACAACCCAGCAUUCAUUAUUCCAUCACGGCCACUGUGACCAGAGUCUAACAUCUCAAGCUUAGGCGCUGUUCCGUCUUUAAACUGCACAGAUUUGACGUCGAUCUCACCUCCUGAGCAUCUCUGUACGCCAGUCAGUUGCAGCGCCACUAGAGUAGUUCUGUUGUUGAUCAGUCGAAUGAGAUCUGCUUUGGACUUGUUCUGUUG
RNAcentral lists this long non-coding RNA (27340 nucleotides) under Setaria italica (foxtail millet). RNAcentral describes it as "long non-coding RNA (SITA_LNC002532)". Lineage: Eukaryota; Viridiplantae; Streptophyta; Magnoliopsida; Poales; Poaceae. The record is from RNAcentral.